CCCUUAGAUGUUCUGGGCCGCACGCGUGCUACACUGAGUGGAUCAGCGGGUCAGGUUGCGCGAAAGCGUUUCCUAAUCUUUAAAUCCGCUCGUGAUGGGGAUUGACGGUUGCAAUUUUCUGUCAUGAACGAGGAAUACCUUGUAAGCGCGGGUCAUCAUCCCGCGCUGAAUACGUCCCUGCCCUUUGUACACACCGCCCGUCGCACCAAUCGAUUGAGGUAUCUGGUGAAAAUGCAGGAAACCUCUGUGGCAUGCUUCAUUGCAAGCCGUAGAAGAUGAAUGCAUUUAAACCAGGCGCCUUAGAGAAUGGUGAAGUCGUAACA
RNAcentral lists this ribosomal RNA (323 nucleotides) under uncultured eukaryote. RNAcentral's name for it is "partial 18S ribosomal RNA". It matches the Rfam family "Eukaryotic small subunit ribosomal RNA", at positions 1470 to 1796 of the family's 1831-position model. The record is from RNAcentral.